This 503-nucleotide ribosomal RNA is filed under the name uncultured bacterium. RNAcentral's name for it is "partial 16S ribosomal RNA". It matches the Rfam family "Bacterial small subunit ribosomal RNA", at positions 28 to 523 of the family's 1533-position model. The record is from RNAcentral.
GAUGAACGCUAGCGGCAGGCCUAACACAUGCAAGUCGAGGGGUAGCAGGAUUAAGCUUGCUUAAUUGCUGACGACCGGCGCACGGGUGCGUAACGCGUAUGCAACCUACCUUAUACUGGGGUAUAGCCCGGAGAAAUUCGGAUUAAUCCCCCAUAGUACUAAUGAAUCGCAUGGUUUAUUAGUUAAAGCAUUGCGGUAUAAGAUGGGCAUGCGUCCUAUUAGCUAGAUGGUGAGGUAACGGCUCACCAUGGCUACGAUAGGUAGGGGGCCUGAGAUGGUGGUCCCCCACACUGGUACUGAGACACGGAACAAACUCCUACGGGAGGCAGCAGUGAGGAAUAUUGGUCAAUGGGCGCAAGCCUGAACCAGCCAUGCCGCGUGCAGGAAGAAUGCCCUAUGGGUUGUAAACUGCUUUUAUUUGGUAAUAAACCUCUUUACGUGUAGAGAGCUGAAGGUACCAAAUGAAUAAGCACCGGCUAACUCCGUGCCAGCCGCCGCUGUAA